Molecule: long non-coding RNA, 1279 nt
Filed under: Bos indicus x Bos taurus (hybrid cattle)
Lineage: Eukaryota; Metazoa; Chordata; Mammalia; Artiodactyla; Bovidae
Description: lncRNA (ENSBIXG00000023097.1)
Source: RNAcentral
GAAUGAUGAAGCGAGUGGGAAUGAUACUGAGUUUUAGACACCUGUGAAACGCUCAGUGGAGAGCCACCAGGAAGGUGUACAGACACGUCAGAAGAGCUACCUGGGAAAGAGAUGGACACAGUCAGUAGAAAAGAUGGUUGAGAUUAUGCAAAGACGCUGAGCAUGGAAAGGAGCUGAGGGUUCAUGGAAGGUUUGAGGAGGAAAGCACUGUGUGAGACAGCUAAUUGGGACAAAGUUCAGGAGGGAAUGAAGAUAAUCAACAGAGCAAGAUUUCUGAGAAGGCAGAAGAUGGGAAGUCGGAACAUAGACAAAGAGUCAGUCGUAAACAAGAGACGUAAAAAUUCUCACACAAUCACUGUAGAAGAGGAGAAAAAAGUGGGGAUGGUAUUUUCUUGGCCAUUUCCUAACCACUAAACUCAUUGGAAAACACUCUGAUGCUGGUAGGAAUUGGGGGCGGGAGGAGAAGGGGAUGACAGAGGAUGAGAUGGCUGGAUGGCAUCACUGACUUGAUGGACGUGAGUCUGAGUGAACUCCGGGAGUUGGUGAUGGACAGGGAGGCCUGGCGUGCUGCAAUUCAUGGGGUGGCAAAGAGUCAGACACGACUGAGCGACUGAAUUGAACUGAACUGAAACCUGAAUUUGUUUUUGCUAGGUAUUCAUCUGUCAUAACGGAGAAGGCAAUGGCACCCCACUCCAGUACUCUUGCCUGGAAAAUCCCAUGGAUGGAGGAGCCUGGUGGGCUUCAGUCCAUGGGGUUGCUGAGGGUCGGACACGACUGAGCGACUUCACUUUCACUUUUCACUUUCAUGCAUUGGAGAAGGAAAUGGCAAUCCACUCCAGUGUUCUUGCCUGGAGAAUCCCAGGGACGGGGGAGCCUGUUGGGCUGCCAUCUAUGGGGUCGCACAGAGUCAGACACGACUGAAGUGACUUGGCAGUAGCAGCAUCUCUCAUAAAAGCGCUAAACACCAGGAAUCCUUUAAAAACUCCAUUGACUUCAAUCUAGGAAGAAAUGUAUAGUGUUCAUAUAACAUUCUUUCCGAACAAUCGUAAUUUAAGUUUCAGUUUUCUUCUUGACCCAAAAAUUAUAAAGAAGGUUGUUCUUUUACCACGAUGGUUAGUUUUAGGUUUUUUUUUUUUUUUUUAAUUAUUAUCAGUUCCCUUUCAUUUUUAAUUUCUAACUUGCAUUUUACUGUAUUAAGAGAAUGUGACCUUUAUAAUCUCUUUUUGGAGAAUGAAUUCAUAUUUUCUUUGGUACAUGGUAUUUAAUCAAUUUUGUAAAG